RNAcentral lists this ribosomal RNA (207 nucleotides) under uncultured bacterium. RNAcentral's name for it is "partial 16S ribosomal RNA". It matches the Rfam family "Bacterial small subunit ribosomal RNA", at positions 568 to 774 of the family's 1533-position model. The record is from RNAcentral.
CACGUAGGCGGAUUGGAAAGUUGGGGGUGAAAUCCCGGGGCUCAACCCCGGAACUGCCUUCAAAACUCCCAGUCUGGAGGUCGAGAGAGGUGAGUGGAAUUCCGAGUGUAGAGGUGAAAUUCGUAGAUAUUCGGAGGAACACCAGUGGCGAAGGCGGCUCACCGGCUCGAACCUGACGCUGAGGUGCGAAAGCGUGGGGAGCAAACA